RNAcentral lists this ribosomal RNA (485 nucleotides) under uncultured bacterium. RNAcentral describes it as "bacterial SSU rRNA". It matches the Rfam family "Bacterial small subunit ribosomal RNA", at positions 28 to 507 of the family's 1533-position model. The record is from RNAcentral.
GAUGAACGCUAGCGGGAGGCUUAACACAUGCAAGUCGAGGGGCAGCACGGGUAGCAAUACCUGGUGGCGACCGGCAGACGGGUGAGUAACGCGUAUGUAACCUACCCUGUACAGGGGGAUAACCCGGAGAAAUUCGGACUAAUAUCCCAUAGAAAUAUUGGAAGGCAUCUUUUGAUAUUUAAAGUUCCGGCGGUACGGGAUGGGCAUGCGUAACAUUAGCUAGUUGGUAAGGUAACGGCUUACCAAGGCUUUGAUGUUUAGGGGUCCUGAGAGGGUGAUCCCCCACACUGGUACUGAGACACGGACCAGACUCCUACGGGAGGCAGCAGUGAGGAAUAUUGGUCAAUGGGCGCAAGCCUGAACCAGCCAUCCCGCGUGCAGGAAGACGGCCCUAUGGGUUGUAAACUGCUUUUCCAGGGGGAGAAAUUUGCGCACGUGUUGCGUAAUUGACGGUACCUUGGGAAUAAGCAUCGGCUAACUCCGUG